Belonocnema kinseyi is the source of this 775-nucleotide long non-coding RNA. RefSeq lists it as uncharacterized. The record is from RefSeq and is a predicted model, not a curated record. Lineage: Eukaryota; Metazoa; Arthropoda; Insecta; Hymenoptera; Cynipidae. The transcript has 4 exons.
UCGCGUCGAUCGCUCCGAGAUUUCAAGUCGAAAAUGGAUCAAUUUCGUCAGGAUAAAUCCUAAUUUUGGUUGAUUUUAGUAGCGUAACCGCCGACGGUCAAAAUAAUGUAAAAAUUACAGAAAAUCAAAGCAAGUUUGUAGAACUUUUCGGAUUUCAGGGUUAAACGUUCCGGUAUUUGCAGUGACGCUUAUUCGGAAAAAUGUUUAAAGUUCAUUUUACCUAUUUUGGCCACAGGAUUGGUCAAAUUUUAGGUUUCUAGUGAUAAAUUUGAAGCUUCACUGCCAUUUAGAUACAGUUCGUCGCGUGUAAAAAAUCGUUUUUGUGAGUGCGAAUUCUAAAAGUGUUUUCCAACGAACACUUUUCGCGCGGGAAACUGUUGGAAAUCUGGGAAAUUCGAACUUUAGUGACUACGCAAAAUAGUGAAAAGUUCAUUUGUAUGGAAUUAUCAAAACCUCCAAGAUUCUCGUGCAAUGUGGAAGAAGGAAGCAGAAUUUGAAGGACAGGAAGCUGGACGAAGCUGGCAUCGCCUCGAGGAGGAAAACCGCGAAGUAGUAAGUGCAUUUUGAAGUUCCUCUUGCCUCCGAUCAAUUGCGCAGGAUGAAUGGUCCAAAGACCGACACGGAGAUUUUGGCGAGGUUCGCUGUCCUUCCAGUAAGAAAAUUCUUUCAAUUUGUCAAGAAUUAAAAAAAAACUCACAAAAUUCAGGGAAUUUCUAUAAGAGGGACUUUAAAUAACAACUGUCAAGAAGAGUCCAUUUUGAAAUUUUAAUUUGAA